Molecule: long non-coding RNA, 544 nt
Organism: Acinonyx jubatus (cheetah)
Lineage: Eukaryota; Metazoa; Chordata; Mammalia; Carnivora; Felidae
Exons: 4
Source: RefSeq, a predicted model, not a curated record
CAGGACUCUGGGCAGCCCCACCCAGGGAAGAGGGCAGGAGGGGGAGACGGAGCCUCUCCGGAUGACAGCCAUGUAGCAGGUGGGGAGGAAGUGCAGAUCCAAAGAAAGAGAAGCACAGCCUAGCUCCAAGCUGGUCUGAUCAACCCGAAGUGAAGAUACCGGUUCUAACCCAAAACUAUUGGUUUGGGCCCUCAUGGGUGACAGAAAAGUAUCACAGUACUGGUUCCUGUUUGAACACACAUGUUCAUGGGGUCUCGCCUUGCAGCAGGAGGACAGAGGAGGCUGGAAUCACGGCACUCCCACAGCAAGGGCAAUCUUUAAAGGCAGUAAGGUGUGACGCUCCAGACUGGCAGCUUGGCAAGACGGAGCCCAUGGAUACCAGCACACGGGAAUCUGGACCGUUCACUCUGACAGCAGUCAGCACUGGGAACAAAAGGAAUGGAGGAAAAAAAGCGCAAAUGUAUUUUUACAUAUUGUAGGCAUAUGGCCACAAGACCAGCAGAAAUACAUUUAAUUACCAAUUGCGUGCAUUGAGGAGAAAAAC